This 991-nucleotide ribosomal RNA is filed under the name uncultured bacterium. RNAcentral's name for it is "bacterial SSU rRNA". It matches the Rfam family "Bacterial small subunit ribosomal RNA", at positions 51 to 1035 of the family's 1533-position model. The record is from RNAcentral.
UAACAUGCAGUCGAACGGCAGCACGGACUUCGGUCUGGUGGCGAGUGGCGAACGGGUGAGUAAUGCGCCGGAACGUAUCCAGUAGAGGGGGAUAACGCAGCGAAAGCUGUGCUAAUACCGCAUACGCCCUGAGGGGGAAAGCAUGGGAUCUUCGGACCAUGCGUUAUUGGAGCGGCCGACGUCUGAUUAGCUAGUAGGUGAGGUAAAGGCUCACCUAGGCGAUGAUCAGUAGCUGGUCUGAGAGGAUGAUCAGCCACACUGGAACUGAGAGACGGUCCAGACUCCUACGGGAGGCAGCAGUGGGGAAUUUUGGACAAUGGGCGCAAGCCUGAUCCAGCCAUUCCGCGUGAGUGAAGAAGGCCUUCGGGUUGUAAAGCUCUUUCGGCAGGGAAGAAAAGGUUCUGGUUAAUAGCUGGAACUGCUGACGGUACCUGAAGAAGAAGCACCGGCUAACUACGUGCCAGCAGCCGCGGUAAUACGUAGGGUGCGAGCGUUAAUCGGAAUUACUGGGCGUAAAGGGUGCGCAGGCGGCUCUGUAAGUCUGACGUGAAAUCCCCGGGCUUAACCUGGGAACUGCGUUGGAAACUGUAGAGCUAGAGUGUAGCAGAGGGGGGUAGAAUUCCACGUGUAGCAGUGAAAUGCGUAGAGAUGUGGAGGAAUACCGAUGGCGAAGGCAGCCCCCUGGGUUAACACUGACGCUCAGGCACGAAAGCGUGGGUAGCAAACAGGAUUAGAUACCCUGGUAGUCCACGCCCUAAACGAUGUCAACUAGUUGUUGGGGAGGGAGACCUCCUUGGUAACGCAGCUAACGCGUGAAGUUGACCGCCUGGGGAGUACGGUCGCAAGAUUAAAACUCAAAGGAAUUGACGGGGGCCCGCACAAGCGGUGGAUUAUGUGGAUUAAUUCGAUGCAACGCGAAAAACCUUACCUACCCUUGACAUGUACGGAAGACUGCAGAGAUGUGGUUGUGCUUGAAAGAGAACCGUAACAC